GUAGGUGGCAAGCGUUGUCCGGAAUUAUUGGGCGUAAAGCGCGCGCAGGCGGUUCUUUAAGUCUGAUGUGAAAGCCCACGGGCUCAACCGUGGAGGGUCAUUGGAAACUGGAGAACUUGAGUACAGAAGAGGAAAGCGGAAUUCCACGUGUAGCGGUGAAAUGCGUAGAGAUGUGGAGGAACACCAGUGGCGAAGGCGGCUUUCUGGUCUGUAACUGACGCUGAGGCGCGAAAGCGUGGGGAGCAAACAGGAUUAGAUACCCUGGUAGUCCACGCCGUAAACGAUGAGUGCUAAGUGUUACGGGGGUUUCCGCCCCUUAGUGCUGCAGCUAACGCAUUAAGCACUCCGCCGUGGGGAGUACGGCCGCAAGGCU
RNAcentral lists this ribosomal RNA (373 nucleotides) under uncultured organism. Its description in RNAcentral is "partial 16S ribosomal RNA". It matches the Rfam family "Bacterial small subunit ribosomal RNA", at positions 527 to 895 of the family's 1533-position model. The record is from RNAcentral.